Molecule: ribosomal RNA, 253 nt
Filed under: uncultured bacterium
Lineage: Bacteria
Description: partial 16S ribosomal RNA
Rfam family: Bacterial small subunit ribosomal RNA
Source: RNAcentral
UACAGAGGGUGCGAGCGUUAAUCGGAAUUACUGGGCGUAAAGCGCGCGUAGGCGGUUUUGUAAGUCGGGUGUGAAAUCCCCAAGCUUAACUUGGGAACUGCAUUCGAGACUGCAUAGCUAGAGUAUGGGAGAGGGAAGUGGAAUUUCAGGUGUAGCGGUGAAAUGCGCAGAUAUCAGGAGGAACACCGAUGGCGAAGGCAGGUCUCUGGGCCGAUACUGACGCUGAGGAGCGAAAGCGUGGGGAGCGAACAGG